GGAUGUGAGGGCGAUCUGGUUGCUACAUCUGUCACCCCAUUGAUCGCCAGGGUUCAUUCGGCUGAUCUGGCCGGCUAGGUGGGUGUCCUCUUCCUCCCUCACUGCUCCAUGUGCGUCCUUCCCGAAGCUGUGUGCUCGGUUGAAGAGGACGGUCUUCCCUGAAUAGAGACGGACAGGUCUUCGGUCAAGGGUACACGAGUAGCUGCGCUCCCCUGCUAGAACCAUACAAGCUCUCAAAAAUUUUGUGAAACGAGUUCCUUAAAAAAAAAAAAAUCGCUGAAUUAAUGUAGGGUGUUAACAAAGGCUAAAUUAUGCUGCCUACAAACUGUUGGUGGGGUACUUUUU
Molecule: small nuclear RNA, 345 nt
Filed under: Erinaceus europaeus (western European hedgehog)
Lineage: Eukaryota; Metazoa; Chordata; Mammalia; Eulipotyphla; Erinaceidae
Description: 7SK RNA
Rfam family: 7SK RNA
About the family: 7SK was discovered as an abundant small nuclear RNA in the mid-70s but a possible function has only recently been suggested. Two independent studies have found that 7SK RNA binds the CDK9/cyclin T complex (known as elongation factor P-TEFb).
Source: Rfam by way of RNAcentral